CGAAAACCUGAAAGCAAAGAACGAGUCAGUUUUCGAGUGAAUUUCCAGGUAAAUAGGGUAUAGUUGCGGCAACUCGUUUGCAACUCCGCGUUAUUGUUGUUGUUUUUUAAGUGAUUGGUGAAAAAAUUCCUAUCGAUGUAUAUAUUUAUUAGAUGCAAAAAUCUAUAGUGUUAAACUAAUAUUUCCGUUAACGAAAAUUGUGAGUCUGAAGUGCCUACCGAAAGGGGCGGUGGCUGCGGUUUCGUGAGAUUAAGAAAAAUAUGUAAUAAGAAAUUUAAUAGUGGAGCAUUUAAUGGAAGACGGGUGAAUCACACUCAUACAUAUACAUAAGUAUAUACGUUGAUAAAUACAAUUGCACACCUGCGAACGGUGGUGUGAAUUGGGGAAACAUCGAAACAAAAGUAUAUACAAUAAAAGAGCAUAAAAACAACUACAAAAGAGAAUUGCCGAUUGCAAUUCCUCCAUACAAAUGUGCAAAUUUUCUUGCGUAUCUCCUGAGACAAAUAUUACGAUUUUUAUCUGAAAAAUUAUAAGUGAUUGUGUUUAUUUCUGACUAUUUCAAUUAAGAACAAAAUAACAUGUUAAGUUGCAAAAUUUUGUUUUUUUUCAAAACAUCCAUCGAAUUGUUAUUUUCUUAAAAUUUUGAAAGCAAUUCAUAAAAUGGGUUAAAUAAUUUUAUAUUAAAAAAUGCUAAAUAGUGGAAUAUGUGUUUAAUAUUCUCUUUGAUUUGUUCUUAUUUGCAAAUUAAAAAAUUUGAGUGAAAUGCUAAAUUUUCUGUAAAAAAUCAUUGUGGAAGUUGUAAACAUAGAGACAAAAGCAAAAUAAAACAAACCGAAAAACUAAUUAUCACAAAAUAAAUUUUUGUUUAUUAUACUACCGACAUAUACAUAUGCACGAUUGUAUUUUAUGUAGUAUUGGUGUAACAACUAAUUAAACAAAUCGCAAUCUAAUACCACAAAUAACUUUUUUAUUUGAUUGAUAUUUUUAAUACAAUAGCAUAGCUGAAAUCUAUUUUUCAUAAAUUCUUUGCCAAGACUUCAAUUAGCUUGUGAGGAAGACUAAAUAACGUUUUUUUUAAAUUAUUUUUGUUCUUAAAAGGUUGUUACCUAAAUCCAAAAUUUACCAAGCGCGUACUCUUUGUAAACUAUAUUUAUCAAUACAUUCCUCUCUUAAACCGCUACCCUCUUAACUUUUUCUUUGUGAACGUACUUCAAUAAAUGCCCGAAAAGGUAACGAAAAUAAAAACAACAAGGAAUAAUUCUACUUAUAUGUAAAUAGCAGCAUAUGCCUUAGCUUGUUGUUAUUGUUCUCGUAAAGUGGUCACCGCUUUGAAGGCGAAUGCAGUGAAACAACGCAACCACUAGCUCAUCGUCACACAUUCCAAAGCAUAUGGAGUAAAUCCAAAAAGAAAUAUACCUACAUACAUAUAUUCAGUUUCAGCUUUAUUACCAGUUUACUUUACAUAUUUUCUUUCCGGUCUUACCUGCAACUUGUUAUAGCGUCAUCGGGUUCUACCUGCGCGCCGCAGUGCUUCGCUUUAUCACAUACGCACGCUUAUGCAUGCAUGCAUGCAUUUAAGCUUGUGUGAAUUCGAAAUUACUCUUUAAUCCGCCUGCAUUUAUUGUCGGCGCGAUUGUUGUGUUCUACCCCACCAAAAAAAAAAAACAAAAAAAAAUUAGUAGGUAGUGAAUAUAUACUUUGGCAAAAAUACUGAAUUUUUGCGAAUAACACUUACAAUUGAAGAGUGCGAAUUGAACAAAAACAUAUUUUUGGAUACCAAAGCUUACUGUUUUGUGGAUUUACUACCCGGCCUUGACAAAUGGACGAAGCAGCAGAAAGUGUCAACAAGAUGAGUUGGGGAACGCAACUUUGGGUAAGUUUCAAGUACUAAUGGAACCAAUUUAACGAAGAGGUCUGGUGAGGCUGUAAUAUUUUUUUUUUUUAAUUUCUAAAGUAUUUUAUCUCCUUUGAGCUCUAAAACAACUGUCUGAACAGAUUUGUAAAGAAUUAUAUUUGAUAAAUUUUUAAAUGAAAAAA
Molecule: long non-coding RNA, 2037 nt
Filed under: Ceratitis capitata (Mediterranean fruit fly)
Lineage: Eukaryota; Metazoa; Arthropoda; Insecta; Diptera; Tephritidae
Description: uncharacterized LOC111591615, transcript variant X2
Source: RNAcentral